ACAGCAGCAGCCACGGGAAUACGAAGGGGGCUAGCGUUGUUCGGAAUUACUGGGCGUAAAGUGCGUGUAGGCGGGUCCUUAAGUCAGGGGUGAAAUGCCAAGGCUCAACCUUGGAACUGCCUUUGAUACUGGGGAUCUUGAGUCCGGGAGAGGUGAGUGGAACUGCGAGUGUAGAGGUGAAAUUCGUAGAUAUUCGCAAGAACACCAGUGGCGAAGGCGGCUCACUGGCCCGGAACUGACGCUGAGACGCGAAAGCGUGGGGAGCAAACAGGAUUAGAUACCCCGGUAGUCCCUGUCUCUUAUAC
Molecule: ribosomal RNA, 305 nt
Filed under: uncultured bacterium
Lineage: Bacteria
Description: partial 16S ribosomal RNA
Rfam family: Bacterial small subunit ribosomal RNA
Source: RNAcentral